This is a long non-coding RNA of Misgurnus anguillicaudatus (oriental weatherfish), 1075 nucleotides long. RefSeq lists it as uncharacterized. The record is from RefSeq and is a predicted model, not a curated record. Lineage: Eukaryota; Metazoa; Chordata; Actinopteri; Cypriniformes; Cobitidae.
UACAGAGGGCUGGACAGUGGUUUCAUUCAUUAGGUAAAGAGGUGGGACAAUGAUGCUGACAGGACAGGAGGAGGUGACAUUCAGACAUUCAACGCAGACAUUUUCAUCCAAAGCAACUUGAGGAAGAAAACAGAAGCAGUUCAUCCUAAAAAGUGGGCUGCUGUAAUGUUUACAUCUAUGGAAAGAGGAGCCGAGAAGAAAAGAGACACUGGAAAGCAGUACUUCUUGUUGAGGACAAUCCUGAAUAGGAAAACUUUCUCAUACACAUAGAUUAUUAUUAGUGUUUGAUUUUUUUUCUUUAUGAAUUGUAUUGUUUUAAUUUUUCGUUUUAUUUGAAAUUACCUAAGUUAGAUUCAUGCUAAUACUUUAACUGGACCUUGUAUCUUUGCUGGCUGGCUGUAGAGUUGGUUUCACAUACACAUGAAGUUUCUAUAAUUAACUAACUUUUAAGUUCAGUUUGGUUUAAACUUGUAUUUACCCAUGGUAAUUCAUUUAAAUUUCAAUUCAUGCUAAUAUAUUAAUUUCAAUGAACUUCUGUAUUUGUGUACAGGUGGCAAUUUGGGCAAACUACAUUUCACACAUCAAUGUAACUGUCAAAAAGUUUUUUUUUUAUUAUCAGUUUGUUCUAAACUUUUGUUUGUUUACUAAGGAUGAAAUUGCUUUGUAAUUUAAGUUGUUGGUGUUAGAUUCAUGCCAAUAAUGUAUUUGAACAAACUAGUAUUUUUGUUUAUUGCUGGCAGUUUAUAGUAGAAGAGUUUUAACACAUACAAUGUUGUAGUGUUAAAUUGACUUGUGUGCUAUUGAUUAAUAAAAAGGCAAACAAUUUGAAAGUAAUUUUUCGUGUGAUUUAUUUAUUAAUAUAAUUUGGGCAAGAUUAGGCUGAGUUAUGGCUCAGUUUUGGAAGUUCUGGUUAAAUGCUGGUUUUAAUUUGGUUGACCUAUGGCUGAGAACUGGUACCGAUGUUAGAAGGUUUGGGCCAAUUAUGGGCUAUUAUAUGGCAGGGACAUGGGCCAGUUGUGGCUCAUGUGUGGCCUUUGUCUGUAAUUCAGAACUGGGCCACUGUAGGGCCGUCAUU